CCUACGGGAGGCAGCAGUGGGGAAUAUUGCGCAAUGGACGAAAGUCUGACGCAGCGACGCCGCGUGUGGGAUGAAGCUCUUCGGGGUGUAAACCACUGUUGCCCGGGAAGAAACUCCUGAUUCGUCAGGACUGACGGUACCGGGUGAGGAAGCACCGGCUAACUCUGUGCCAGCAGCCGCGGUAAUACAGAGGGUGCGAGCGUUGUCCGGAAUCACUGGGCGUAAAGGGCGCGUAGGUGGCGGGAUAAGUGUGUGGUGAAAGCUCGGGGCUCAACCCCGAGUCUGCCAUGCAGACUGUCUUGCUCGAGCGUAGUAGAGGCAGGUGGAAUUCCGGGUGUAGCGGUGGAAUGCGUAGAGAUCCGGAAGAACACCGGUGGCGAAGGCGGCCUGCUGGGCUACUGCUGACACUGAGGCGCGACAGCGUGGGGAGCAAACAGGAUUAGAUACCCUGGUAGUCCACGCCGUAAACGAUGGGUACUAGGUGUCUGGGGGAACGACCCCCGUGGGUGCCGGCGCUAACGCGNNGAGACCGCCGCGGGAGGACGGCCGGCGAGGCGUUGAACGUACGAAAGGAAGUUAGACGGCGNGAGGACGNGCCGACGGACGACGACGAGGGAGGAGG
This 622-nucleotide ribosomal RNA is filed under the name uncultured bacterium. RNAcentral's name for it is "bacterial SSU rRNA". The stretch from base 1 to 534 matches the Rfam family "Bacterial small subunit ribosomal RNA", at positions 338 to 873 of the family's 1533-position model. The record is from RNAcentral.